CGCGGGGUGGUGCAGUUGGCAGCUCGUCGGGCUCAUAACCCGAAGGUCGUAGGUUCAAGUCCUGCCUCCGCAACCA
RNAcentral lists this transfer RNA (76 nucleotides) under Clostridioides difficile. RNAcentral describes it as "tRNA-Met". It matches the Rfam family "tRNA". From Rfam's summary of the family: Transfer RNA (tRNA) molecules are approximately 80 nucleotides in length. Lineage: Bacteria; Bacillati; Bacillota; Clostridia; Peptostreptococcales; Peptostreptococcaceae. The record is from RNAcentral.